CCUACGGGGGGCAGCAGUGGGGAAUAUUGGACAAUGGGGGGAACCCUGAUCCAGCCAUGCCGCGUGUGUGAAGAAGGCCCUCGGGUCGUAAAGCACUUUCAGUGAGGAAGAACGCCUGGUGGUUAAUACCCAUCAGGAAAGACAUCACUCACAGAAGAAGCACCGGCUAACUCCGUGCCAGCAGCCGCGGUAAUACGGAGGGUGCGAGCGUUAAUCGGAAUUACUGGGCGUAAAGCGCGCGUAGGUGGCUUGAUAAGCCGGUUGUGAAAGCCCCGGGCUCAACCUGGGAACGGCAUCCGGAACUGUCAAGCUAGAGUGCAGGAGAGGAAGGUAGAAUUCCCGGUGUAGCGGUGAAAUGCGUAGAGAUCGGGAGGAAUACCAGUGGCGAAGGCGGCCUUCUGGACUGACACUGACACUGAGGUGCGAAAGCGUGGGUAGCAAACAGGAUUAGAUACCCCUGUAGUC
RNAcentral lists this ribosomal RNA (465 nucleotides) under Vreelandella stevensii. RNAcentral's name for it is "partial 16S ribosomal RNA". It matches the Rfam family "Bacterial small subunit ribosomal RNA", at positions 338 to 795 of the family's 1533-position model. The record is from RNAcentral. Lineage: Bacteria; Pseudomonadati; Pseudomonadota; Gammaproteobacteria; Oceanospirillales; Halomonadaceae.